CCUACGGGGGUCUGCAGUGAGGAAUAUUGGUCAAUGGACGAGAGUCUGAACCAGCCAAGUAGCGUGAAGGAUGACUGCCCUAUGGGUUGUAAACUUCUUUUAUAUGGGAAUAAAACGUUCCACGUGUGGGAUUUUGUAUGUACCAUAUGAAUAAGGAUCGGCUAACUCCGUGCCAGCAGCCGCGGUAAUACGGAGGAUCCGAGCGUUAUCCGGAUUUAUUGGGUUUAAAGGGAGCGUAGGUGGAUUGUUAAGUCAGUUGUGAAAGUUUGUGGCUCAACCGUAAAAUUGCAGUUGAAACUGGCAGUCUUGAGUACAGUAGAGGUGGGCGGAAUUCGUGGUGUAGCGGUGAAAUGCUUAGAUAUCACGAAGAACUCCGAUUGCGAAGGCAGUUCACUGGACUGCAACUGACACUGAGGCUCGAAAGUGUGGGUAUCAAACAGGAUUAGAUACCCCAGUAGUC
Molecule: ribosomal RNA, 460 nt
Filed under: uncultured bacterium
Lineage: Bacteria
Description: partial 16S ribosomal RNA
Rfam family: Bacterial small subunit ribosomal RNA
Source: RNAcentral